CCUACGGGAGACAGCAGUGAGGAAUAUUGGUCAAUGGACGAGAGUCUGAACCAGCCAAGUAGCGUGAAGGAUGACUGCCCUAUGGGUUGUAAACUUCUUUUAUAAAGGAAUAAAACGAGGCACGUGUGCCUUUUUGCAUGUACUUUAUGAAUAAGGAUCGGCUAACUCCGUGCCAGCAGCCGCGGUAAUACGGAGGAUCCGAGCGUUAUCCGGAUUUAUUGGGUUUAAAGGGAGCGUAGAUGGGUUGUUAAGUCAGUUGUGAAAGUUUGCGGCUCAACCGUAAAAUUGCAAUUUAUACUGGCAGUCGUGAGUACAGUUGAGGUAGGCGGAAUUCGUGGUGUAGCGGUGAAAUGCUUAGAUAUCACGAAGAACCCCGAUUGCGAAGGCAGCUUACUAAACUGUGACUGACAUUGAUGCUCGAAAGUGUGGGUAUCAAACAGGAUUAGAUACCCGUGUAGUC
This 460-nucleotide ribosomal RNA is filed under the name uncultured bacterium. RNAcentral's name for it is "partial 16S ribosomal RNA". It matches the Rfam family "Bacterial small subunit ribosomal RNA", at positions 338 to 795 of the family's 1533-position model. The record is from RNAcentral.